This 238-nucleotide long non-coding RNA is filed under the name Lathyrus oleraceus (garden pea). RNAcentral describes it as "Pisum sativum (pea) long non-coding RNA (PSAT_LNC037977)". Lineage: Eukaryota; Viridiplantae; Streptophyta; Magnoliopsida; Fabales; Fabaceae. The record is from RNAcentral.
UCUUAUCGAAUGCUUUCUUCACUCUCUGCUGAUAUAACUGACCAUGACACAUGGCAGUUAAUCUCCUCUUUUUGAUCAGAUUCAGUUGGUCGUAACGACUCUGAAUCCAUUCAGCAUCAGUCAACUUGGGACUUUGAGGGUGCUAUUUUUCUUUUGUUUCUUUCUUUCUUUUUUCUUUCUUUUGAUUUUUGAUUUGAUUUCUUGUGAUUUCUUUUGAUUUUGCACCCUCCUCUUUCUU